Long non-coding RNA from Bombus huntii, 607 nucleotides. RefSeq lists it as uncharacterized. NCBI's taxonomy places the organism in Eukaryota, Metazoa, Arthropoda, Insecta, Hymenoptera, Apidae. The record is from RefSeq and is a predicted model, not a curated record. The transcript has 2 exons.
UCAAUUAAUAAUCAAUAUCAUCUUUUCGAUGUCAUCAAUUUACGAAUCGAAAGAGAAGGAAUUUUGAAGGAUGAUCUAUAAUCGAAUUAAUUACAAAAGGAAGAACGGAGAGAUAACUGGAAGGGGGAUUUAAAUGGAAAUGGCAGAAUCAAUGGAGGAACAAUUGCAUUUUCUUCCUUUUUGUAUCAUGAUAAUUAACAAUUCUACAAAUAGAAGCGAUUGAGAACCACCAGUAUCGAUUACUUCGGAUUUAUUGAUACUCCAUUGUGUUCCACUUAGUAGUACGGAUCUAUUUCUUCAUUGUUACGAGAAACGAUCCUUCUUUUUUUAUCUAAAUGAACGAAAUGAUUAAACAUCUGCGAAGACUAUUGUACUCAUUGGCGUGGUUCAACUGCUCUGACUUCGUUCGUUGUUUGAAUUAUGCAAUCGAAAUAGUUUCAUUACACUAUUUGCAGAGGCAUUCUCUCUUACGUAUCACAACCGAUGAUUUCGAAACUAAUGAUUGAUAAAAAGAAACCAGCGAUUAAACCUUUGACGGUGAAAAAAAAAUCAAAGAACUCGGAAUGAACAAUACAUAUUAGGAAUAGUUGCUUCUUUUUCGUAAAGA